This 830-nucleotide non-coding RNA is filed under the name Holothuria fuscogilva. The record is from RNAcentral. Lineage: Eukaryota; Metazoa; Echinodermata; Holothuroidea; Aspidochirotida; Holothuriidae.
AGAAAACUUGGUUCUAGUUUCUCUUCUAGCUCUAUUUCGUCUGCCACAUGCAAACAAAAAGUAAUCCAGCAGAAGACCCCUACGCCUAGUAAAGGAGAGAGGAAGCAUAAGUCAAACGACAAAAGCAUAGAAUAAACCUGCGGACAGCAGUGCUUAACAUUGUACAAUUUAAGACAUUAAGAUACAGACAGAAAUAAAAGAAGCGGCAAAUACCGUGCCAGCAGCCGCGGUUACACGUUAGCUUCCAGUUAAAAGAGUCCGGUCCAAAGAAUGGAAGGCUAAGCAUCCUCAGUAAGGAAAGAACAAAAGCAGUAAUAAGCCAAGCUCUCCCGUAACUUCGCUGAAAAGCCCACCUUCAAAGAUAAGAUAUAAACUAGGAUUAGAUACCCUACUAUACUUUUCCCCCACUUCACAACCCACCAGAGCAGUACGACUCGGUUAAAACUUAAAGAACUUGGCGGUUUUCUAGAUCUUCUUGGAGGAGCUUGUCAUCGAAUUGAUAAUCCACACGACACCUUACCUCUCCUAGAUUCCAGCUUGUAUACCAUCGUCGUCAGUUCACCUCGAGAGAGUGUGAGCAAAAUGAACAAACUUCAUAACGUCAGAUCAAGGUGCAGCCAAUGGAAAGGGGAUAGAUGAGCUACAAUACUUUAGAAAUCGAGGAAGUUAUGAAUGAAAUAACUAACCGAAAGAGGAUUCAACAGUAAUGAUUUAAAAAAAGAAUUUAUGAAGCAAGCUCUAGAAUGCGCACACAUCGCCCGUCACUCUCCUCUAACGAGCAGAAAAGUCGUAACAUAGUAGGUGUACCGGAAGGUGCAACCUGGAACAAA